GACGAACGCUGGCGGCGUGCUUAACACAUGCAAGUCGAACGGAAAGGCCCUGCUUUUGUGGGGUGCGCGAGUGGCGAACGGGUGAGUAACACGUGAGUAACCUGCCCUUGACUGUGGGAUAACUUCAGGAAACUGGGGCUAAUACCGGAUAGGAGCUCCUGCUGCAUGGUGGGGGUUGGAAAGUUUCGGCGGUUGGGGAUGGACUCGCGGCUUAUCAGCUUGUUGGUGGGGUAGUGGCUUACCAAGGCUUUGACGGGUAGCCGGCCUGAGAGGGUGACCGGCCACCUCGGGACUGAGAUACGGCCCAGACGCCUACGGGAGGCAGCAGUGGGGAAUAUUGCACAAUGGGCGGCAGCCUGAUGAAGCAACGCCGCGUGCUGGAUGAAGGCCUUCGGGUUGUAAACCGCUUUCGCCUGUGACGAAGCGUGAGUGACGGUAAUGGGUAAAGAAGCACCGGCUAACUCCGUG
RNAcentral lists this ribosomal RNA (468 nucleotides) under uncultured bacterium. Its description in RNAcentral is "partial 16S ribosomal RNA". It matches the Rfam family "Bacterial small subunit ribosomal RNA", at positions 28 to 507 of the family's 1533-position model. The record is from RNAcentral.